GGAUUUCCAACAGAAGAAAAAAUAGGAAGUUCAGUAAGAAAAAAAAAAAAAGCUAGAUAGAUAGAAAGAGUACAAAUGUGGGAGAAGAAGAGUGACGACGGAAGAUUUUGUGUAUAGGGGUGGCCUGCGCCGGAGUGGUUUGCAGAGGAGUGUGAUGGUCGGUUAACGAAGGCACAUGCAGUCAAUAGGAGAUGACGACGACAACGUUAUGAGAUAUAUAAAUAGAAACGAUGGUCUUAUACCGAUGACAGUAAAAUUCCUCCCUCUUCUUUUUUUAUAGUUUCUUUGAUUUUUGUAUGUAUUGAAAAAAAAAAAAAACCUAUUGGAUUUCUAAAUUUUCGUUCAAAACAAUCUAUUUUAGACACUUCAAGAACCGUAUAAGGGUUUUCAUCAUCUGAAACAACCCGAUUUCCGAGGCCUCUUGCACUGCAUUACCAUAACGAGAGAAAUUUCUCUUGUGAAUCGGAAUUAAACUUUCUCGAUAGAAGAAAGGAAGAGCGAUGGAUUCCUAUGAAGCAUUCGGGAACAAGAAAGAAGAAUCGUAUAAGGGUUUUUUGAGGAAGAGAAAAGGUUUUCUGAAGAAGAAAAUUAUUUUUUUGAAAAUAACUAGCAAAAUGACUAAAUUGUGCCUUAAGUAUGUACAAUAUACGGUAUACAAUAUAUGUGUUUGUAUUUGUGUCCAAAAGUGCGUUUAAAUAUCAUAUGUUAUUUAAAUACAUUUUUAAACACAAAUACAAACAUAAAUACUCUCAUAUAUUAUUAUACAUAUGUGACUCCUACACAAUCUCUUUCUUCUUUUACUUUCCCUCAUUUUUAUCUCUUUUUUUUUCACUUUCUUGUUUUUUGUCUUCUUAUACAAAAACAAACCUCACACAUUCAUCUUCACUUUCUUCCAUAAUUUCUCCUUCUUCCUUCUUUUUUUUUUACUGGUUUUAAUUUUAGGUAAACAUUAGAUUUGAGAGAAAAACCAUGAUUUCCAAGGAAGAUGAAGAAAAAUAGAAAAACAAAAUCAAAUUUUUAUUGAAGUAACUUGAGCAACCUUAUCUUCUCCCUUGCAAGACACUAGUAUUGAGAAAAAUUGCAACAACCUGUAACUAUCGCACAGAGAAGACGACAAGCGACAACGAGCGAUGACGACUGAGAAGGAAGAA
This is a non-coding RNA of Cicer arietinum (chickpea), 1151 nucleotides long. The record is from RefSeq and is a predicted model, not a curated record. NCBI's taxonomy places the organism in Eukaryota, Viridiplantae, Streptophyta, Magnoliopsida, Fabales, Fabaceae.